UCGUGUGACUGGGUCUUGGGUCUGGUGCAGUGGGGUGGAUCAUGUGACUGGGUGGCGGUGAGAAAGACACUGGACCUUUCCGUCCAGAUUAUGCUGCCGUAUCUAUAAGGCUGAAUUUGCGCUCCCUUAUCUACGAGAGCUCUACCCUGAGCAUAUGGGUUGCAGAUAGGGUUCCAACAUUUCCAGGUAUUCCUGAAAUCAUAUUCCCCUCCUAAUUCCAGGACUCUUCCAACCAGGAUGUCUGGAAAGCCAUGGAAUUUUGGGAACGUUCCCGGAAUUCUUUGACCCGUGUUGCAGAAAAGGGGAGAUACUGUAGGUGACAUGGAGAAAUGUUAUGAAACAGAAAAGGGGAGAUACUGUAGGUGACAUGGAGAAAUGUUAUGAAACAGAAAAGGGGAGAUACUGUAGGUGACAUGGAGAAAUGUUAUGAAACAGAAAAGGGGAGAUACUGUAGGUGACAUGGAGAAAUGUUAUGAAACAGAAAAGGGGAGAUACUGUAGGUGACAUGGAGAAAUGUUAUGAAACAGAAAAGGGGAGAUACUGUAGGUGACAUGGAGAAAUGUUAUGAAACAGAAAAGGGGAGAUACUGUAGGUGACAUGGAGAAAUGUUAUGAAACAGAAAAGGGGAGAUACUGUAGGUGACAUGGAGAAAUGUUAUGAAACAGAAAAGGGGAGAUACUGUAGGUGACAUGGAGAAAUGUUAUGAAACAGAAAAGGGGAGAUACUGUAGGUGACAUGGAGAAAUGUUAUGAAACAGAAAAGGGGAGAUACUGUAGGUGACAUGGAGAAAUGUUAUGAAACAGAAAAGGGGAGAUACUGUAGGUGACAUGGAGAAAUGUUAUGAAACAGAAAAGGGGAGAUACUGUAGGUGACAUGGAGAAAUGUUAUGAAACAGAAAAGGGGAGAUACUGUAGGUGACAUGGAGAAAUGUUAUGAAACACUCCACCUAUUUUGAAGUUUUCAUAAUUUACUACUGAAAAUGGGGUUUUCAAGUGUCACCUUUCAUUGGCCUCAGACGGGCAAAAACGUCUCACCUCUCAUUGGCCCUGAACAUCUGCUCUUAGCACUCAAUAGUCAACAUGACACUGUCUACCGUGUGAGAAUGUGCUCGGUGAAAGUGAGGAUGCCGGAGAGGGUAUGUCCCAAAUGGCACCCGGUUCCCUUUACAGUGCAAAAGUAGUGCGCCAUAUAGGGAAUAGAGUGCCAUUUGGGAUGGAGAUAAUAAUGAGGCUCU
This is a long non-coding RNA of Oncorhynchus keta (chum salmon), 1234 nucleotides long. RefSeq lists it as uncharacterized. Lineage: Eukaryota; Metazoa; Chordata; Actinopteri; Salmoniformes; Salmonidae. The transcript is spliced from 3 exons. The record is from RefSeq and is a predicted model, not a curated record.